Molecule: ribosomal RNA, 626 nt
Filed under: Moesziomyces aphidis
Lineage: Eukaryota; Fungi; Basidiomycota; Ustilaginomycetes; Ustilaginales; Ustilaginaceae
Description: partial large subunit ribosomal RNA
Rfam family: Eukaryotic large subunit ribosomal RNA
Source: RNAcentral
GCGGAGGAAAAGAAACUAACAAGGAUUCCCCUAGUAACGGCGAGUGAAGAGGGAAGAGCCCAAGAUUGAAAGCUGGCGUCUUCGGCGUCCGCAUUGUAAUCUCAAGAAGUGUUUUCCGCUUCGGACCAUGCCUAAGUCCCUUGGAAAAGGGCAUCAUAGAGGGUGAUAAUCCCGUACAUGGCAUGGAGCGCCCGAAGCUUUGUGAUACGCUUUCUAAGAGUCGAGUUGUUUGGGAAUGCAGCUCAAAAUGGGUGGUAAAUGCCAUCUAAGGCUAAAUAUUGGGGAGAGACCGAUAGCGAACAAGUACAGUGAUGGAAAGAUGAAAAGAACUUUGAAAAGAGAGUUAAACAGUACGUGAAAUUGCCAAAAGGGAAGGGUAGGAGGUCAGAGAUGCGGCCUGGGAUUCAGCCUUGCUUUUGCUUGGUGUUUUUCCCAGAUUGCAGGCCAACGUCGGUUUUGGGCACUGGAGAAGGGUAGGAGGAACGUGGCACCUCUCGGGGUGUGUUAUAGCCUCCUACUGGAUACAGCGACCGAGACCGAGGACAGCAGCGUACUCGCAAGAGCGGGCCUUCGGGCACCUUUACGCUUAGGGCGUUGGCAUAAUGGCCCUCUACCACCCGUCUUGA